UAUGUGAUCGUCUCUCGCAUAUCAAUAAGCGGAGGAAAAGAAACUAACAAGGAUUCCCCUAGUAACGGCGAGUGAAGCGGGAAAGAGCUCAAAUUUGAAAUCUUAAAGGGUUUCCCUUUACGAAUUGUAGUUUAAAGAAGUGUUUUCUGUUGAGGUUUUGGUAAAAGUUCUUUGGAAUAGGACAUCAUAGAGGGUGAGAAUCCCGUAUUUGACCUUUACUUUCAACUUUGUGAUACACUUUCAAAGAGUCGGAUUGUUUGGGAAUGCAGUCCAAAAUGGGUGGUAAAUUUCAUCUAAAGCUAAAUAUUGGCGAGAGACCGAUAGCGAACAAGUACCGUGAGGGAAAGAUGAAAAGAACUUUGAAAAGAGAGUUAAACAGUACGUGAAAUUGUCAAAAGGGAAGCGUUUGACACCAGUGUUGUUUUUCUGAAAAUCAAUUAAAGAACUGUUUAUGCUAAGUUGUUUAGACUUUAUCAGCUAACUGUUUAGUUUUGAGCUUUUCUUUAAUGCACUUUUCAGUUAACAAGUCAACGUCAAUUUCUUUUGCUGUAAAAAAGCUUGAGGAAGGUGGCUUGAGAUUCGUCUUAAGUGUUUAUAGCCUCUUGCCUAUGCAGUCGGAGAGAUUGAGGUCUGCAGCGUAGAUCCUUCGGGGCUAAAUGCAUUUGUGCUAAGUUAUAACAUUUUAUAGACAACUUGUUGACUAUGAUUUGUCUUGUAGCUUACUCGCUUAUGUUAUUUUACCUACGCUUAGGAUGUUGAGUAGCGACAUACGCAC
This 775-nucleotide ribosomal RNA is filed under the name uncultured Neocallimastigales. RNAcentral describes it as "partial large subunit ribosomal RNA". It matches the Rfam family "Eukaryotic large subunit ribosomal RNA", at positions 24 to 649 of the family's 3401-position model. The record is from RNAcentral. Lineage: Eukaryota; Fungi; Neocallimastigomycota; Neocallimastigomycetes; Neocallimastigales.